This 323-nucleotide ribosomal RNA is filed under the name uncultured eukaryote. Its description in RNAcentral is "partial 18S ribosomal RNA". It matches the Rfam family "Eukaryotic small subunit ribosomal RNA", at positions 1470 to 1796 of the family's 1831-position model. The record is from RNAcentral.
CCCUUAGAUGGCCUGGGCUGCACGCGGGCUACAAUGGUAUAUUCAGCGUGAGUUGUUUACCGAAAGGUAGAUCAAAUCUUCAAAUUAUACCGUACUUGGGAUUGGACAUUGCAAUUGUUGUCCAUGAACGAGGAAUUCCUAGUAAGUGCAUGUCAUUAGCGUGCGCUGAUUACGUCCCUGCCCUUUGUACACACCGCCCGUCGCUCCUACCGAUUGAAUGAUCCGAUGAAUAUCAUGGAUUGAGGAUGUAAGCAGGUUCGCCUGUCUUCAUCUUCGAGAAGUGAAGUAAAUCUUAUCAUUUAGAGGAAGGAGAAGUCGUAACA